Molecule: long non-coding RNA, 191 nt
Filed under: Anser brachyrhynchus (Pink-footed goose)
Lineage: Eukaryota; Metazoa; Chordata; Aves; Anseriformes; Anatidae
Description: lncRNA (ENSABRG00000006775.1)
Source: RNAcentral
ACAAUUACUAAAGACAAUGUUGCACUUCCAGCCAAUGCAGCUAUGUGGCGAAGAACUGCUAGUAGAAGACUACCUACUACAUGCAGAGAAUUUUGUUUCCUGGCUCAUAGUUUUGGAUGAAGCUAUGGUGUUUGGAAUGAGCUAGACAGAAUCACCCACUCCAAGGUUACCUGCUGUUCAUUCUACCAUAG